Molecule: long non-coding RNA, 346 nt
Organism: Dermochelys coriacea (leatherback sea turtle)
Lineage: Eukaryota; Metazoa; Chordata; Testudines; Dermochelyidae
Exons: 3
Source: RefSeq, a predicted model, not a curated record
GUGUCUCUAAUCCCAUGAACUAUCGACCAACCACUCUUUGAGACAAAGCACUCUGAGGCUAGGGUGAAGGAUCUUCCUGCGUUCCUGGAAGAGGAGAUGAGGAGUGGCCUGGAGAGUAAUCAGAGAGCAAAUGACAAGCUGUACUAGUUGUAGGCCCAAUUUGAGGAAGAUAUUGAUAGCUUCGGAAAUUGCCCAGGAAGUUAGCUCCAGGGAGCGAUUCUUCGGCAGCCAACCAUUAAACUGGAGAUUCAAUUUCUGGAAGAAAGGGCCAUCUGGGUGGAAUUCAGUGCUGUUUUGUAAGAUCGGCUAUUGAAUAAUCCAUUGUCAAGAUAUGGGAAGACUAAAA